AGAGUUUGAUUCUGGCUCGGGAUGAACGCUAGCUACAGGCUUAACACAUGCAAGUCGAGGGGUAGCAGGGUAGCAAUACCGCUGACGACCGGCGCACGGGUGAGUAACACGUAUCCAACCUUCCCAUAACUCAGGGAUAGCCUUUCGAAAGAAAGAUUAAUACCUGAUAGUACUUUUUCAGGGCAUCUUGAAAAAAGUUAAAGAUUUAUUGGUUAUGGAUGGGGAUGCGUUCCAUUAGAUAGUUGGUGAGGUAACGGCUCACCAAGUCUUCGAUGGAUAGGGGUUCUGAGAGGAAGGUCCCCCACAUUGGUACUGAGACACGGACCAAACUCCUACGGGAGGCAGCAGUGAGGAAUAUUGGUCAAUGGGCGAGAGCCUGAACCAGCCAAGUAGCGUGAAAAGGAUGAAGGUCCUAUGGAUUGUAAACUUCUUUUAUAGUAGAAUAAAGUGAGCCACGUGUGGUUUUUGUAUGUAUACUAUGAAUAAGGAUCGGCUAACUCCGUGCCAGCCGCCGC
RNAcentral lists this ribosomal RNA (515 nucleotides) under uncultured bacterium. RNAcentral describes it as "bacterial SSU rRNA". It matches the Rfam family "Bacterial small subunit ribosomal RNA", at positions 8 to 518 of the family's 1533-position model. The record is from RNAcentral.